CACGGACCAAACUCCUACGGGAGGCAGCAGUGAGGAAUAUUGGUCAAUGGGCGUAAGCCUGAACCAGCCAAGUCGCGUGAGGGAUGAAGGUUCUAUGGAUCGUAAACCUCUUUUAUAAGGGAAUAAAGUGCGGGACGUGUCCCGUUUUGUAUGUACCUUAUGAAUAAGGAUCGGCUAACUCCGUGCCAGCAGCCGCGGUAAUACGGAGGAUCCGAGCGUUAUCCGGAUUUAUUGGGUUUAAAGGGUGCGUAGGCGGCCUUUUAGGUCAGCGGUGAAAGUCUGUGGCUCAACCAUAGAAUUGCCGUUGAAACUGGGGGGCUUGAGUAUGUUUGAGGCAGGCGGAAUGCGUGGUGUAGCGGUGAAAUGCUUAGAUAUCACGCAGAACCCCGAUUGCGAAGGCAGCCUGCCAAGCCAUGACUGACGCUGAUGCACGAAAGCGUGGGGAUCAAACAGGAUUAGAUACCCUGGUAGUCCACGCAGUAAACGAUGAUCACUAGCUGUUUGCGAUACAGUGUAAGCGGCACAGCGAAAGCGUUAAGUGAUCCACCUGGGGAGUA
RNAcentral lists this ribosomal RNA (557 nucleotides) under uncultured bacterium. RNAcentral's name for it is "bacterial SSU rRNA". It matches the Rfam family "Bacterial small subunit ribosomal RNA", at positions 325 to 882 of the family's 1533-position model. The record is from RNAcentral.